GAUCCCCCACACAUGUGUGGGGUCGAUGAUG
Molecule: ribosomal RNA, 31 nt
Filed under: Campanula jacobaea
Lineage: Eukaryota; Viridiplantae; Streptophyta; Magnoliopsida; Asterales; Campanulaceae
Description: partial 28S ribosomal RNA
Source: RNAcentral